Marasmius sp. AFHP31 is the source of this 90-nucleotide non-coding RNA. NCBI's taxonomy places the organism in Eukaryota, Fungi, Basidiomycota, Agaricomycetes, Agaricales, Marasmiaceae. The record is from the annotation of a GenBank genome assembly.
GCUGGGAUGGCCGAGUCGUUAAGGCGAGUGAUUUGAAUCAUCAAUAUCACUUGGUGUUUCACCGCGUAGGUUCAAAUCCUGCUCCCAGCG